Molecule: long non-coding RNA, 900 nt
Organism: Neofelis nebulosa (Clouded leopard)
Lineage: Eukaryota; Metazoa; Chordata; Mammalia; Carnivora; Felidae
Exons: 4
Source: RefSeq, a predicted model, not a curated record
CUCUCUUAUUCAUUUCUAUCUAUCCUUGUUGUAUUCACCGGCAGUCACGAUAUCUUAGAUUCUUUGUAAUCUUUUCAGUGCAGCGUCUUAACUAUUACUCCAAGAGCUUCGGGGGCUAAUCAUCUUAUAAAGAUGAACUCGGCAAUCCAGCAAAAACAGCUAGUUGGACUGUUUAUUUAUGUCCCUCAAAUGAGCUGAUUAUGAAUUCCUUGGAUGAGUCGCUAAGUUGCAGCGACUCUCAGGUUUUCCCAUCUGUGAAAUAAAGUGGACGAAAUUCCUGUUUUGAUCCGUUCUUGAGCAGCAAAUCAGCUUCUGCCAUACUUCUACACCUGCUGCCUGAGCUCAUUCCGUGUUCUCUUUGUUGUUGUCCAUUAUGUUUUCUCAGGCUGCGCUACAGAUCUGUUUCCUCCACCUAUUGAACCCCCCAUCCUAAAAACAGUUAGAAACUUCUGCAAUGCAUGAUAAGCCGCAUCUACCUAAUAUUAUCGACAGACUUGUUCUGCCAGGAAAAGAAAUGCCCAAUGAAAGCAAAUCAAUGGGCCAUGGAAGCAGGUCUUCCCAGCAGUGACCUAAUCUGCCUGUUUCAAAAGAAGAGGUUACAAUGACAUGAACCAUAAGACGGGAGAGAGAGCUCGCUAAGCUUGAAUCCCCGCCCGUAUGCUUACCUGCUAGGUCACAUCUCUGAGCUCCAAUGUCCUCAUCUGUGAAACCGUAAGAGCGAUAGUCACCUGACCUGGCUCUUCAGGUCACAAUGUCACGGUUUGUGGGUUCGAGCCCUGCAUCAGGCUCCGUGCCGACAGUGCACAGCUACUUGGGAUGCUCUCCCUGCCUCUCUGCCUCUCCCCUGCUUGUACUUGCUCUCUCUCAAAAAUAAAUAAAUAAACUAAAAAACACGCCCAA